Molecule: microRNA precursor, 109 nt
Filed under: Lepisosteus oculatus (spotted gar)
Lineage: Eukaryota; Metazoa; Chordata; Actinopteri; Semionotiformes; Lepisosteidae
Description: miRNA (ENSLOCG00000018529.1)
Source: RNAcentral
GUGACAUAACACCUUUCAAAAUAACCGAUUUCAAAUGGUGCUAGAAACUCUGCAGACUCUGAACACCAAAGGAAAUCAGUCAUCCUGAGAAAGGUCUGAGUUCAUGGGC